Molecule: ribosomal RNA, 253 nt
Filed under: uncultured bacterium
Lineage: Bacteria
Description: partial 16S ribosomal RNA
Rfam family: Bacterial small subunit ribosomal RNA
Source: RNAcentral
UACGUAGGGUGCAAGCGUUAUCCGGAAUCAUUGGGCGUAAAGAGCUCGUAGGCGGUUUGUCGCGUCUGCCGUGAAAACUGGAGGCUCAACCUCCAGCCUGCGGUGGGUACGGGCAGACUAGAGUGAUGUAGGGGAGACUGGAAUUCCUGGUGUAGCGGUGAAAUGCGCAGAUAUCAGGAGGAACACCGAUGGCGAAGGCAGGUCUCUGGGCAUUAACUGACGCUGAGGAGCGAAAGCAUGGGGAGCGAACAGG